Molecule: long non-coding RNA, 493 nt
Organism: Oncorhynchus tshawytscha (Chinook salmon)
Lineage: Eukaryota; Metazoa; Chordata; Actinopteri; Salmoniformes; Salmonidae
Source: Ensembl
UAGGUUUAAUGGCUAUUGACCAGUCGUGCUCUUGGAGAUGAUUCUAACCAAUUAGUCCCAAUAACAAGUUCUAAUUGAACAGACACAUAUUCCCAAACAUCGUUAGUAAUGGCUUGGGUUCCGUGGAGUAAAACAGGAAGUUGAUAAAGUCGUAUUUUCUAAUUAUGGACGAAUUAGACAUUGGGCAGCAGUGGUGGAACUCAAGCAAACCCAGUCAGUUGUGCAUCCUUGGGGAGUGAGGACUGGUUGAGAGGUGGUUUUGGGGAUUGAUGAUGGGUUGAGAGGUGGUUUAGGGGAGUGAAGACUGGUUGAGAGGUGGUUUAGGGGAGUGAGGACGGUUGAGAGGUGGUUUAGGGGAGUGAGGACGGGUUGAGAGGUGGUUUAGGGGAGUGAGGACGGGUUGAGAGGUGGUUUUGGGGAUUGAUGACGGGUUGAGAGGUGGUUUUGGGGAUUGAUGACGGGUUGAGAGGUGGUUUAGGGGAGUGAGGACGGG